RNAcentral lists this non-coding RNA (26 nucleotides) under Mus musculus (house mouse). Lineage: Eukaryota; Metazoa; Chordata; Mammalia; Rodentia; Muridae. The record is from RNAcentral.
UGGUUAAAGGAUUAGAAGUUGCAGGA